GUCCCCGUCGAUUAGUGGUUAGAUCAUCACGUUGUGGCAAAUGCGUAACAAUCCGUGGAGACGCAGGCUCGACUCCUGCCAGGGACA
Non-coding RNA from Rhodocollybia butyracea, 87 nucleotides. NCBI's taxonomy places the organism in Eukaryota, Fungi, Basidiomycota, Agaricomycetes, Agaricales, Omphalotaceae. The record is from the annotation of a GenBank genome assembly.